CAGCCGCCGCGGGAAUACAGAGGGUGCAAGCGUUAAUCGGAAUUACUGGGCGUAAAGCGCGCGUAGGUGGUUCAUUAAGUUGGAUGUGAAAGCCCUGGGCUCAACCUGGGAACUGCAUCCAAAACUGGUGAGCUAGAGUACGGUAGAGGGUAGUGGAAUUUCCUGUGUAGCGGUGAAAUGCGUAGAUAUAGGAAGGAACACCAGUGGCGAAGGCGACUACCUGGACUGAUACUGACACUGAGGUGCGAAAGCGUGGGGAGCAAACAGGAUUAGAUACCCGCGUAGUCCCUGUCUCUUAUAC
Molecule: ribosomal RNA, 301 nt
Filed under: uncultured bacterium
Lineage: Bacteria
Description: partial 16S ribosomal RNA
Rfam family: Bacterial small subunit ribosomal RNA
Source: RNAcentral